GACCCUGAGGCUCUAAGAGGAGAAGCCCUGUUCUCUAUCCAAGGAGAGGACGACUUAGGUUUUCAGGGAACACGGGCGAGAAAACUGAGGCACAGAGAAGUGAGGAACGUGCCCAGGGUCACAUAACAUAGUGGUAAAGCCUGGAUUCAAACCCAGCCAAUCUGCCCCAGAGGCCAAGUUCAGAGCUCACUCUUCUUGCAUAAGAAAAAAAAUCUCUCGGUUAAAAUGAAUGGAAAGUAGCUCGCCAUACUCAAGACACAUUUUGAACUCAAGCAUUAUUCUUAGAGGAAGAUCUUUUCAUAGAGACAAGCACGAGAAAAGGGCUGCUGAGUAAAGGUGUUG
This is a long non-coding RNA of Prionailurus viverrinus (fishing cat), 342 nucleotides long. RefSeq lists it as uncharacterized. The transcript has 4 exons. NCBI's taxonomy places the organism in Eukaryota, Metazoa, Chordata, Mammalia, Carnivora, Felidae. The record is from RefSeq and is a predicted model, not a curated record.